UUUCUUAAUGCCCUUCACUAGAACCAGAAAGGAAAAGCCACUGUUCUACAGAGAAAAAGAUGCCAGAGUUCACUCUCGGUAAUUCCUUUCAUUAUGGCAGCCAAAAACAAACCAUCUCUGACCUUGACUCUGAAACUAUUGAGAUGCUACUAACAAAGAUGACUUCGGAUCGGCUCUGGCAGUUUGCACACGAAGAGAAGAUCCAGGACGAUCUGAUUGGGUGGAAGAAGAUGUUGGUGAAGAUUAACGAGGUGCUAGAUGAUGCCAUGGAGAAGCAGACGAAGGAGGAGUCAGUGAAUAUGUGGCUAGGCCAGCUUCAGAACUUGGCUUGCGAUGUUGAUUACUUGUUUGAUGAAUUACAAACGGAAGCUUUCCAAAGGAAGUUGCUGCUAGGCGAUGAUGCCAUGGAUAAGUUUGAUUCCAUGGCGAUGUCUAAAGUAAAGGAUGUCAAUGCUAGCUUUCAAGAUAUUGCAUCGCAGAUAGACCUACUAGGAUUGAAAGAAAGUUCAGUUGGGAAGUCAUGAAAUUUCAGGCAAAGAGUACGUGCAACCCUUCGGUGAGUCAACCCAAUGUGUAAGUACUGUGAUAUUCAAACAAAAAGUUUUGAUAGUCAUCGAAAAUAGUAAUUUACUCCUGCCACAAGUUUGGUAAGUUGAAAAUGUUCAUAGCUCAAAUUAUACCACCUAAUGAGUUAUAAUGCUCACUUGUAGUCACCUCGGUAUUUGGUUUGAAAAAAAAAUGAUAUGGUAGUUUCAAUUGUUGAAUUCUUGUCAUUGCAAAUAACAAUGGCACCAAUGCCUGCUGCCAGAAAAUUUCAAAAUUUCACUAGUUGUUUUUACCUAGUUUCAUUUUUGGUCGAAAUGAAACUUCUAUUAAUAAUUAUUAUACAGUAUGGUUAUAAAUAAUCAUGUAUUUAUAACAAAUUUAACAAAACUAUUAAAAAUAUUGUUACAUUUUCGAUGCUAACUUCCUAUCAUUGAAAAUGGUAUUGGCGCAAUUAAUUUCUUGCCAAAAAUAAAUAUUAACAAUUAAUUAUUAAGUUAUUUUUUUUAACAGUUAUUCCCUAUUGAAAACACGGGACAUUACUUUAUUCUUUUAGCGACAAACUAAUUGUUACAAUAAAAAAUAAUCAUAUUUUCAACUAAAUUUUUCCUGCGAUUAGCAAUGUUGGUCCGAAAAGUCUAUUUUUCUUGUAGUUAUGCAACGGCUUUGAUUGCCUAACUGGACACCGGUGUCAUUUGAUUUUGAGAAUUAUUACUGUAUGUGAUAGGACCAGUGCUGUCCACCAGAAGCUUAUCAUGUUCAGUGGCUUACUGUCUUGCUUCUUUGGGGAAAAUAGCAUGAGGUGGGUGUGAGAAGUUUGCAAAGCCGAGCUACCAUGAAGCAAUGGAAAGAUGAUUGCUAUUAAGAAGAUUGUUCUGCCUCCGAUGGAUACCGCAGAUUUGAUUGAAGAAGAUGGUAAGUUACUGAACAUGAUAAUGAUGCAAAUUCGGUCUGGGAUUAAAACUACGGGUCAAAUUAGGCACAGGAAUCUUCAUGCUUUGCAGGCUCAUAUAACCAGGCCUGACUGCCAUUUACUCAGUGGACAGAAUGCCAUUUACUCAGUCCAAAGUGGCAAUAUACUGCCAAGUCUAGGUUGUUGGGACGUUACCAUGCUCCCUGAUUGAGUUGUACAAUUAUCAUGAUCCCCUUCUUGAGUUUACUUUUUAAGUUGUAUAAUUAUGAGGUUCACGACAUUGUUAACAAACUAAAAACUAUUUCUGAAAUGUGGUAUAUUUUUUAUUUCAUGUGGUAUAUUUUUUAUUUCAACUGACAAUAGUCAUGUCAGUUUUAUGGCAGCACAUCCCUACAACUCAACAAAGGAUGGUCAAUUGCAAAACCUAAGCCUGUUAUUUAUUUAUUUAUUUUUCAUUAAAAAAAAAGUAUAGCAAGGACAACUGAAUUCAAUAAGCAAUAGGCAAGUGUUUUCUAGUUAUUCCCCAGAAAAGGUUCCUUCAAAAGCAACAAGCCGUGGACAGAUGCUUAUUGUUUUGAAGAUUGAUCACUUUUGCACUUUGAAUGACCCAGAGGAUAGACCUAACAGCAAGGAUGUUUGGUGCGUGUUGUCUCAGAUCCACCACCAACUACCGUACAUGUGGAUGUUUUCAAAUGUGCAAGAAUACGUUAUUUGUGACGAACAUUGAUUGCUUUCUAGUUAAGUUGUAUAAUUAUUAUGACCCUUCUGAGUUUAUACUUUAAAUGAUUUAUAAUGUGGUUCAUGACAUUGUAGUUGAACAAACUAAAAAUAUUUCUGAAAUGUGGUAUAUUUCCUAUUUCAAUCAUUUGGUUGCAUUUUUUCCCCCCAUUUUGUUUUUUCAGACAAAAGGCCCCAUUCAUUGAAUAAGAAAAGCAAAUGUGAGCACAAGUAUGAAAUCAAAUGUUCGCAAGUGUUUUUUUUUUUCCUCUCUCUCUCCCUUAGAAGUAAGAGGCACUCUGUUCGGAUGAAAUAUGUUAUUACACAGCCUAAAAAAUGAGGCUCAAGAAAAUCGAAGUUUUUUAAAUAUUUAAAAGAAAAAUUGCUCUCAUAUUCGCAUACUAGGAAGUUGAGCCCCUUCCUCUAAUAAGGGAAUUGGGAUACCACCCACCUCAGGUUUCCCAAAAUGUUUGAAAGUCCAUGAUAGCAUUAAAAAUGCAGUAGGAUGCUUAUUAUCAGGAUCAUAUACAACAUAAGACAAAAAUAUACCGUUUCUGCUAGUUUUUUUUUUUUUUUUUCCUACAUUGCUGCAUUCAUAUUUCUCAAUUUUCUAGCUCUAGGUUUGCAUUUUUGUAGCGCCUUGCAUCUCAUGAGGGUAAUGCUCAUUAUAUCUCCUGACUGGGUGUCAUAUUUUUUUUUUAAUUAAUAAAUUUCUCUCAUACCGUUGAGGUUUUGCCCACAAAACCAAAAAGGAAAAAAAAAAAAAUGAGAGAAACAGAAAAAGAGAACCACAUAACAUUGUGGAGACAGAGCAAGCUGUUUGUACUAAAGUGAAUAGAAGAAGAACGACUGCAGUAACAGAGAUAGAUGCCCACUGACUAUUGAAAUAAUCUUGUUUCAAUAUUGCCUUCCAUCUGCGUCAAGGGUAUCUGUUCUUCAGAUCUUCAACAAGAUCUGUAUAUUGAAAAUUUUAGCAGACGACGAAGUUUCUUUGGACAUGGGUUGUGAAAAAGAGUCGACACAGCUUCGUUGUCCCAUUGCCAAUUUUCAAUAACUCGGUUUUCAACAAAGUAAUCCAACAUCCCGUGCCGUGUUGACGAGGUAAGUCAUGACUAUAACAGGUUGACGCGUGUACCUGCUGCCACCACAAUACAAUCUCUCAAAAGUUUGAGAAUUUCUGAACAAAAUUUCUGAGGAUUGGCUGAUUCUCAUUAGUGGAAUUUCCAGGAUGCCAUUUAUUGAAACUGAAAGUAAUUUCAAAUAGCUUUUUGCUUGAGACCAAUGUGAAACUUGACUCCAGCUUGGCAGAAAUUGCUUAAAGCAAAUCAAUUCAAAUUCAUUAAAUUGAAGUUCCACCAGCGAUCGGCUCAACUUAAUAUUUGUUUUAUUGAAAAAAAUAAAAGACAAAUGACAAAACCGUGUUCGUCCCACAUGAUGAGUUAUUCCUCUCUUUCCCUUUUGGACUUUCGUGUGCGUGGUUGUGUAACACACCCACACCUAAGUCAGACAAAUCUUCGUCUCCUUGUUACAUUGGAACCCUUGCUUGCUUACACAAUUACUUGUUAAUGCGUCACUAUAAACGAGAGUCCUAAUUUUAUUCCUAAAUUAUAAUUAUUAAUUGUUAAUUUAUAUUUAUUAUUAUUUAAUAAUAUAUUUUCCAUAAACAAACUAUUAAAUUCAUACAAAAUCUCCUUUCAACAUUAUAAUUAACAAAUUUAGUCCAUUUAUUUUCUAAAAAAUAUCUAUUUAAUGUUGUAAAUUAUAACGUUAUAUAUUUCAUUCAAAACUCAAUAAAAACCACAUAUUUGUUAAAUUAUUAUCCGUUAAUAUCUUUUUCCAAUAGAAAAUAAAAAACACUAUACUUUCAAUGUUUUGGUGAAAAAAUUACUUUCUCUACUCUGCUUUUCGCUUAAGAAAAAAAAUCAAUUGUUUUACUUUUCAUUGAUCAUUGCUACUAGAAACCCCAAUCAUCAAAGUAAAAGUUUCCAAUUUUUUUCUAGGUUUUAUCUUUUCAUUCUUUUUUCAAUUAGUUGUGUUAUUUAUUUAUUUUUAAAUAUUAUUGUGUUCUUAUUUUUUUAAAUUUAAUUAUCAAGCAUAUCAUCUAUUGAGAAAGAUAUGUUAACGCUGAAAUCUGGUCAAGUUAGUUAGUGGCUUGAUCUCGAACCCCUAUAUCAGUAUUAAAUUUGUUUGGUAGAGAAGCAGCUUGCCUAUGUCUAAGGACACCCAACGACCACUAGUAGAUAAUCCGCAAGCAGAUGAUCCUUAAGCACCUAAAACCACAAAAAAGAGUUAGAGACGCUGGAAUUUUUUCUGACGUUAACCCUCCAACACUCAAAUCAAUUUAUAAAUUUACAAAAAAAAAUAAAUAAAUAGUUUCUAUUUCAAACAACAAAAGCAGAGUGUGUAGGGGAUCAAAGGGUGAGAAAAGAAAACCAAGUGCCAAUUAAUCGGCUUAAUCUACGUGCCUUUAAGAGAAGCCAUUUAUUGACUUGGAAAAAGAUUAGGGGAGGAGAGCCAAGGGUCACUCAAUUGCCCAAAUUUCCUUCUUCUUCUCCUUUUUCUUCUCAUGCCUGGCCCCUCCACUUUCGUUAUUUUUCUCCUUUUUAUACUAGGAAAAUUAGAAUAUAAAAAUUUGAUUACGUUGUAAACACAAUGGUGAACUUUCACCAUUUAUCCGACAUUGGCAAAUUACUCCCCCCCCCAAAGCUUCCCAACUACAUGUAUAUAUAAUGUAUUCCUUUGUUCUCGUAACAACAAAGAUUGGCUUAAAAUUAAGCUUAAUAACAAGGUACUAAGGGUACUUUGUUUAAUUCAAAAAUUUUUGUUAUUUAUUUAUUUUAUAACACAUUAAUAAUUUGGCAUCUCAGAAAACUAAAAAUUUUAAUUGUAAAUAAAUAAAUCUUAAAUAAAAGCAAAUCAUAUAUUUUACCUCAAAUAUUUUGGAAAGCCUAAUUAAUACAAGAGUACUGAUAUUCAACCACCACAUAUUAUCUCACAAGACCCUUUUUUUUUUUUCCCUUCACCAUCUGCUUCUAAAUUCCCUUAUGUUCUAUCAAAAUUAUCUUUUUCUUUUUAAAGAAUUGUAUCAACAAACUUAGAUGCAAGUCUAUCAUUCAUUAUUUAAUUUUUUGAAAAAAAUUAAUCGUCUGUUAUGUAAGUGUUUAUUAGAGGCUCUUUUAGAACAAAUAAAUUUCUAAAGUUCAAUAUUUUAGAUUGAAAAAGAAAAAAAUUUUAAAAAAAUCAAAGUGAGAUUAUGUUGCACUGCUCAUCAAAUCGCUGUAGCAUGAAUGGAAUACUUUGUUUCCAAAAAUAAAAACAUUUGACCCUUAUGACAUGCAAGUAAAAAUGCAUAAGAGAAGAGAUGCUGGGUUACUGAGUUCGAUUGAAAAGUAAAUACAGCACAAUUUCUGUCCAUUAUGGUAAUUUCAAUAUUAGAGGAGUCUCAUUCUCAUGAGAUGAAAUGCUGGACCGAAUAACUACACUCCUAAACAAUUCGCCCAAGGCCCAAAAUAUAGAAUGCCCUCCAAUUUCCAUUUGAAUCAGAAGGAAGAAGGCACCAGACCGAUCGACAGAGAAAAAAAUGCCAAAGUUCACUCUCAGUAAUUCCUUUCGUUUCGGCAGCCGAAGAGAAGCUAUCACUAACUUUGACUCUGAAUCCAUUGAGACGAUCCUAAAAAAGUUGAAUAAAGAUUGGCUUGGGCAGUUUGCACGGGAAGAGCAGAUGCAGGCCGAUCUGAUUGGGUGGAAGAAGAUGUUGUUGAAGAUUAAUGAGGUGCUAGAUGAUGCCCUGGAGAAGCAGACGAAGGAGGAAUCAGUGAAGAAGUGGCUAGGCAAUCUUCGAAACUUGGCUUGCGAUGUUGAUUACUUGUUGGAUGAGUUUCAAACGGAGGCUUUCCAGAAGAUGUUGCUGCUAGAUGAUGAUGUGAUGUCUACAGUUAAGGAGGUCAAUGCUAGAUUGCAAGAUAUUGCAUCGCAGAUAAAACAACUAGAUUUGAGAAAAAAAUCAGGUAGAAAGUCCAGAAAUGUCCGCGGAGUAAUCUCGUCGGCAGUAAGACGAGGAAGAGGAGGUAGAGAUCCUGGCCCUACAAUCUAUAGUCAUCCAGGCUUAGCUUUCUUGCGAAUGAAAAUUUUUAGCAAGUCAGAGAUGAUAAGAGCCACCAAAAAUUUUGAUAGGAGUCGCUGUCUUAGUCAAGGUGGCUUUGUCUCUGUUUACAAAGGUGUCUUACACGAUAAUAUCCAGGUUGCGGUGAAGACGUAUAGACGGGCAGAUAAGAUCCGCAUAACAGAACGGGAGCUUCUGCGCAUUAUUUCACAAGUAAACCAUAAGAAUGUGGUCAAGAUAUUAGGGCUAUGUCUAGAAACCGAAGUGCCUCUCCUGGUUUAUGAAUUUGCUUCCAAUGGAACUCUGUUGGACCAUAUCCGCUGCGAGAGUUCACAGGUUUUAAAAACUUGGAAAACUUGUCUGAGGAUCGCGGCUGAAACUGCUUCAGCUCUUGACUAUUUGCAUUCUUUAGCAAGCCCUCCCAUCAUUCACGGAGACGUAAAGUCCGCCAACAUACUCUUGAAUGACAAUUAUACGGCAAAAGUGGCUGAUUUUGAGUCUUCAGUGUUGAUUUCGUCUGAUGCUGAAACUGCAAUGAGCACGAUUCUAAUAGGGACUUGUGGUUACUUAGAUCCAGUGUGUAUAAACACAGGUAUUUUUUUAAAAAAAUUAAAAAAAAUUGUGUUUUUAUUAAUAGCCUCAUGGCAUGUUCAAUUUUUUUCCCCUAAAUAAACCAGUUUGAACCCCAAAUCUUUUGUACCAGCACCGCCUUAAAACUUUUUGCUAGUUAAUCUAACUAGCACCAAACAAUGACAGGUAAAUUGACGAAGAAGAGUGAUGUGUAUAGCUUUGGAGUUGUCCUUGCGGAAUUGUUAACCGGCAAGAAACCUGGCUCUUGCAUGACAUUGGCAUCCAAUAAGAAGAUUAGCAUGGUUCCUUAUUUUCUAAACUCGAUUAAAAAUAAUGGUUUGCGUCAGAUUCUGAACUUUCAUGUUGCUGAUGAAAGUGAAAUGAAGGAGAUAGAAAUUGUUGCUGAGCUUGCAAGUAAAUGCCUAAGAAUUAGAAGCACCGAAAGGCCAACAAUGGAGCAAGUUUCUGAGGAGCUUGACAGGUUAAGAAGGUUGCAUGAAAAUUUUUGGGCACAGAAGAAAAAUAAAGAGACAGAGCAUUUAUUAGGCGAAUCAUCAUCAUAUGCAACGGCUGUGAUUGCCCAACCAGACGCUCAGACUGUGGUGUCAAUCGAUAUUGAGAACUAUUACGGUACGUGAUCGGAUCUCGGUCAUCGUUAAAAAUAAGUUUGGGUUUGUUCCACAAUUAAUUUGUCUUUAAAGAGUUUUUGCUGACUUGUAUAGACACGAUGUUUCUUAAUGCCCUUCACUAGAAUCGGAAAGAAGAAGCCACAGUUCUACAGAAAAAGGGAUGCCAGAGGUCACUCUCGAUAAUUCUUUUCGUUUCUGCAGCCAAAAGCAAACCAUCUCUGACUUACACUCUGAAACUAUUGAGAAGCUACUAAAAAGGAUGUCUUCGGAUUGGCUCUGGAAAUUUGCACGCCAAGAGCAGAUCCAGGUCGAUCUGAUUGGGUGGAAGAAGAUGUUGGUGAAGAUUAACGAGGUGCUAGAUGAUGCCAUGGAGAAGCAGACGAAGGAGGAGUCAGUGAAUAUGUGGCUAGGCCAGCUUCAGAACUUGGCUUGCGAUGUUGAUUACUUGUUUGAUGAAUUACAAACGGAAGCUUUCCAAAGGAAGUUGCUGCUAGGCGAUGAUGCCAUGGAUAAGUUUGAUUCCAUGGCGAUGUCUAAAGUAAAGGAUGUCAAUGCUAGCUUUCAAGAUAUUGCAUCGCAGAUAGACCUACUAGGAUUGAAAGAAAGUUCAGUCGAGAAGUCAAGAAAUGCCAGGCAAAGAGUACCCACAACCCCUUCGGUGAGUGAAG
RNAcentral lists this long non-coding RNA (8142 nucleotides) under Citrus maxima (pomelo). RNAcentral's name for it is "long non-coding RNA (CMAX_LNC002456)". Lineage: Eukaryota; Viridiplantae; Streptophyta; Magnoliopsida; Sapindales; Rutaceae. The record is from RNAcentral.